AAGUCGUAACAAGGUUUCCGUAGGUGAACCUGCGGAAGGAUCAUUAACACGUAUCCAACGUUAAACCCCCCGUGAACAUUCCGUUAGGACGCGGCAAUCCCUGGUAAAUCAUCGCCGAACAGUUUUGAUUCAGGGACCUCUGCAUGGAGUGGGCAGCAGCGCGAGGCAAGUGGCCUGGCAUUCGAAAGAAUGGCGCAGUAACGAUCGCUAGAGGCCGACACGGCCGGCGACCGGGUCACUGGGCUCACGCCCCCCUAUCACCUUUGCAUGAAAACGGGCCUGCGCUUAAUUGUGCGGCCACCAAACUCGAACAACUGUUAACAAUGGAUAUCUUGGUUCUC
RNAcentral lists this unclassified non-coding RNA (341 nucleotides) under fungal sp. Its description in RNAcentral is "partial internal transcribed spacer region". The stretch from base 1 to 46 matches the Rfam family "Eukaryotic small subunit ribosomal RNA", at positions 1786 to 1831 of the family's 1831-position model. Lineage: Eukaryota; Fungi. The record is from RNAcentral.